RNAcentral lists this ribosomal RNA (237 nucleotides) under uncultured bacterium. Its description in RNAcentral is "partial 16S ribosomal RNA". It matches the Rfam family "Bacterial small subunit ribosomal RNA", at positions 104 to 334 of the family's 1533-position model. The record is from RNAcentral.
CGGGACGGGGUGGAGUAAUGUCUGGGAAACGUGCCUGAUGGAGGGGGAUAACUGCUGGAAACGGUAGCUAAUACCGUAUAACGUCGCAAGACCAAAGAGGGGGGCCGUUCGGGCCUCUUGCCAUCGGAUGUGCCCAGAUGGGAUUAGCUAGUAGGUGGGGUAACGGCUCACCUAGGCGACGAUCCCUAGCUGGUCUGAGAGGAUGGCCAGCCACACUGGAACUGAGACACGGUCCAG